UUGCUUUGGCAGCACAUAUACUAAAAUUAGAAUCAUACAGAGAAGAUUAGCCUGGAUCCUGUGCAAUAAUUCUUGAAGUGUUCCAUAUUAAA
RNAcentral lists this small nuclear RNA (92 nucleotides) under Physeter macrocephalus (sperm whale). Lineage: Eukaryota; Metazoa; Chordata; Mammalia; Artiodactyla; Physeteridae. The record is from RNAcentral.